UCACUACUUGCGUAGGCAGUCUGGCUAGAGUCCCCACCAUUACGUGCUGGUAACUAGCCACAGGGGUUGCGCUCGUUACGGGACUUAACCCAACACCUCACGGCACCUACUUCCAGGAUGUCAAACCCAGGUAAGGUUCUUCGCUUUGCAUCGAAUUAAGCAACGCGCUCCGCCGCUUGUGCGGGCCCCCGUCAAUUCCUUUGAGUUUUAACCUUGCGGUCGUAAUCCCCAGGCGGGGUGCUUAAUGCGUUAGCUACGGCACGGAGGGAGUGGAUAACCCCCCACACCUAGCACCCAUCGUUUACGGCGUGGACUAC
Molecule: unclassified non-coding RNA, 317 nt
Filed under: uncultured bacterium
Lineage: Bacteria
Description: contains 16S-23S intergenic spacer region
Source: RNAcentral